Molecule: ribosomal RNA, 1189 nt
Filed under: Fictibacillus phosphorivorans
Lineage: Bacteria; Bacillati; Bacillota; Bacilli; Caryophanales; Fictibacillaceae
Description: bacterial SSU rRNA
Rfam family: Bacterial small subunit ribosomal RNA
Source: RNAcentral
AAGCAUUUUCUUUCUUUUUUGAAAGUCGGGUUUCGGCUGACACUUUACAGAUGAGGCCCGCGGGCGGCAUUAGCUAGUUGGUUGAGGGUAACGGCUCCACCCAAGGCGGACGAUGCGUAGCCGACCUGAGAGGGGUGAUCGGCCACACUGGGACUGAGACACGGCCCAGACUCCUACGGGAGGCAGCAGUAGGGAAUCUUCGGCAAUGGGCGAAAGCCUGACCGAGCAACGCCGCGUGAGCGAUGAAGGCCUUCGGGUCGUAAAGCUCUGUUGUUAGAGAAGAACAAGUACGAGAGUAACUGCUCGUACCUUGACGGUACCUAACCAGAAAGCCACGGCUAACUACGUGCCAGCAGCCGCGGUAAUACGUAGGUGGCAAGCGUUAUCCGGAAUUAUUGGGCGUAAAGCGCGCGCAGGCGGUCUCUUAAGUCUGAUGUGAAAGCCCACGGCUCAACCGUGGAGGGUCAUUGGAAACUGGGAGACUUGAGUGCAGGAGAGAAAAGUGGAAUUCCACGUGUAGCGGUGAAAUGCGUAGAGAUGUGGAGGAACACCAGUGGCGAAGGCGGCUUUUUGGCCUGUAACUGACGCUGAGGCGCGAAAGCGUGGGGAGCAAACAGGAUUAGAUACCCUGGUAGUCCACGCCGUAAACGAUGAGUGCUAGGUGUUGGGGGGUUCCACCCUCAGUGCUGAAGUUAACACAUUAAGCACUCCGCCUGGGGAGUACGACCGCAAGGUUGAAACUCAAAGGAAUUGACGGGGGCCCGCACAAGCAGUGGAGCAUGUGGUUUAAUUCGAAGCAACGCGAAGAACCUUACCAGGUCUUGACAUCCUUUGACCACUCUAGAGAUAGAGCUUUCCCCUUCGGGGGACAAAGUGACAGGUGGUGCAUGGUUGUCGUCAGCUCGUGUCGUGAGAUGUUGGGUUAAGUCCCGCAACGAGCGCAACCCUUGACCUUAGUUGCCAGCAUUCAGUUGGGCACUCUAAGGUGACUGCCGGUGACAAACCGGAGGAAGGUGGGGACGACGUCAAAUCAUCAUGCCCCUUAUGACCUGGGCUACACACGUGCUACAAUGGAUGAAACAAAGGGUUGCGAAGCCGGCGAAGGCCAAGCCAAUCCCAAAAAGUCAUUCUCAGUUCGGGAUUGUAAGGCUGCAACUUCGCCUAACAUGAAGCCGGAAUUGCUAGUAAU